CUCUUAUUCAGAGUGGUGGAGGUACAUAGGACCUGUGAAGCCACGGCAACCCCUAUUCGGAAGGUGCCAACCUGAGCGAGCAAUCGAACAAUAAGAG
This 97-nucleotide non-coding RNA is filed under the name Roseburia sp. RNAcentral's name for it is "SAM-I sequence". It matches the Rfam family "SAM riboswitch aptamer (S box leader)". From Rfam's summary of the family: The SAM riboswitch is found upstream of a number of genes which code for proteins involved in methionine or cysteine biosynthesis in Gram-positive bacteria. The SAM riboswitch acts at the level of transcription termination control. The predicted structure consists of a complex stem-loop region followed by a single stem loop terminator region. Lineage: Bacteria; Bacillati; Bacillota; Clostridia; Lachnospirales; Lachnospiraceae. The record is from RNAcentral.